GAUCAUGGCUCAGGAUGAACGCUAGCGACGGGCUUAACACAUGCAAGUCGAGGGGCAGCAUGAGGUAGCAAUACCUUGAUGGCGACCGGCGCACGGGUGAGUAACGCGUAUGCAACCUGCCCGAUACCGGGGUAUAGCCCAUGGAAACGUGGAUUAACACCCCAUAGUACUUUUAUCCUGCAUGGGAUGUGAGUUAAAUGUUCAAGGUAUCGGAUGGGCAUGCGUCCUAUUAGUUAG
This 237-nucleotide ribosomal RNA is filed under the name uncultured bacterium. RNAcentral describes it as "partial 16S ribosomal RNA". It matches the Rfam family "Bacterial small subunit ribosomal RNA", at positions 15 to 248 of the family's 1533-position model. The record is from RNAcentral.